GAAUUUUCCGCAAUGGGCGAAAGCCUGACGGAGCAACGCCGCGUGAGGGAUGAAGGCCUCUGGGCUGUAAACCUCUUUUCUCAAGGAAGAAGACCUGACGGUACUUGAGGAAUAAGCCACGGCUAAUUCCGUGCCAGCAGCCGCGGUAAUACGGGAGUGGCAAGCGUUAUCCGGAAUUAUUGGGCGUAAAGCGUCCGCAGGCGGCCUUGUAAGUCUGUUGUUAAAGCGUGGAGCUCAACUCCAUUUGAGCAAUGGAAACUACAAGGCUUGAGUGUGGUAGGGGCAGAGGGAAUUCCCGGUGUAGCGGUGAAAUGCGUAGAUAUCGGGAAGAACACCAGUGGCGAAGGCGCUCUGCUGGGCCAUAACUGACGCUCAUGGACGAAAGCCAGGGGAGCGAAAGGGAUUAGAUACCCCUGUAGU
RNAcentral lists this ribosomal RNA (420 nucleotides) under uncultured cyanobacterium. RNAcentral describes it as "bacterial SSU rRNA". It matches the Rfam family "Bacterial small subunit ribosomal RNA", at positions 359 to 794 of the family's 1533-position model. The record is from RNAcentral. Lineage: Bacteria; Bacillati; Cyanobacteriota.